GAUGAACGCUGGCGGCGUGCCUAAUACAUGCAAGUCGAGCGAACAGAUAAGGAGCUUGCUCCUUUGACGUUAGCGGCGGACGGGUGAGUAACACGUGGGUAACCUACCUAUAAGACUGGGAUAACUUCGGGAAACCGGAGCUAAUACCGGAUAACAUUUGGAACCGCAUGGUUCUAAAGUGAAAGAUGGUUUUGCUAUCACUUAUAGAUGGACCCGCGCCGUAUUAGCUAGUUGGUAAGGUAACGGCUUACCAAGGCAACGAUACGUAGCCGACCUGAGAGGGUGAUCGGCCACACUGGAACUGAGACACGGUCCAGACUCCUACGGGAGGCAGCUGUAGGGAAUCUUCCGCAAUGGGCGAAAGCCUGACGGAGCAACGCCGCGUGAGUGAUGAAGGGUUUCGGCUCGUAAAACUCUGUUAUUAGGGAAGAACAAACGUGUAAGUAACUGUGCACGUCUUGACGGUACCUAAUCAGAAAGCCACGGCUAACUACGUG
This 497-nucleotide ribosomal RNA is filed under the name uncultured bacterium. RNAcentral's name for it is "partial 16S ribosomal RNA". It matches the Rfam family "Bacterial small subunit ribosomal RNA", at positions 28 to 507 of the family's 1533-position model. The record is from RNAcentral.